Molecule: unclassified non-coding RNA, 348 nt
Filed under: Hevea brasiliensis (rubber tree)
Lineage: Eukaryota; Viridiplantae; Streptophyta; Magnoliopsida; Malpighiales; Euphorbiaceae
Source: RNAcentral
UAAGAAUGGGCCGGCACCUAAUAUUAAUGGAUUCAAUCUAAGUUUGAAUGAAUUGAGCUUGGAUCUUAAUGGGUGGGACAUGAAUGUUAAUGGUGUUAAUUCAAGUGCAACUUCAAUAAAUAUGGGUCUGGUUGAUGAAAAUAGAGAAGUUGAUGAUGGUGAUGAAGAUGGUUGGGAGUUCAAGGAUGCACAGCCCAAAACUUCAAUGGCUGAUGAGAUUUCUGAGGCAAACCAAAUCAAGACUGAGAAUGGGCCAGUAUCUAAUCUCAAUGGAUUCAACUCAAGUUGGAAUAAAUUGAGCCGGGAUUUUAAUGGGUUGAACUCAAAUUUCAGUAGUGUUAAUUCAAG